Long non-coding RNA from Erinaceus europaeus (western European hedgehog), 699 nucleotides. RefSeq lists it as uncharacterized. Lineage: Eukaryota; Metazoa; Chordata; Mammalia; Eulipotyphla; Erinaceidae. The record is from RefSeq and is a predicted model, not a curated record. The transcript is spliced from 2 exons.
GCAGCCUGGCAUUCAUCUCCCUCAGCCACAUCCCAGAGAAUUGAAUUAAAAUCCGUAUUUUUCAGCUGCUGUCCGCCUGGCUGGCUGGCUGGCUGUCUUGUGGAAAGGCACUGAGUACCUCAAGGUCGGUAAAGACUGCUGAGGAGACCCUCCAGCCUCCCUCCUGAGAGAGGAAGAAUAAGAGGUCCCCGCUGGGGUCAACAAGGCAGAGGACACAUAGCAUCUGCUCAGUCAUCUCUGUCCCAGUCACCACAGGGCGCGUGGCAAGCAGCAGAGCAGAGCACAGGAAGCACAGCUCUUCUCCUAGAUGUGGCAGGGUCCGCCAUGCAGAUUCUCCCUUCUCCUUCCCUGCCACUCUGCCUGGCAGUCACCCUGGGCUUCAAGCUCGCCCAGCCAGAGGCUGCCUCCACUGUCCCCACCAGGGAAGCUCCCCAAGGCUGAAACCUUGGCCUGACACUAAUCCUCUCUGUGAAGUCCAGCCACAUCACAAAUGCUCACAGCUGCCAGGGAACCCCCGUGGCAUCUUCUGCUUCCUCUCUUUGCAGCCACUGCACUUGGAUGGACCUCACCUUGUUCAUCUGUCAGCAAGAAAAGCUCAGCUGAAGCAUUUGUUAAGUUUCUUGUGGAAUGUCAGAGCGGUUUUGGUGAUGCACCUUUUAUUUUAUUUUUAUUUUUUUAAUUAAAAUUUUAUUAUAUUUA